Molecule: ribosomal RNA, 475 nt
Filed under: uncultured bacterium
Lineage: Bacteria
Description: bacterial SSU rRNA
Rfam family: Bacterial small subunit ribosomal RNA
Source: RNAcentral
GACGAACGCUGGCGGCGUGCUUAACACAUGCAAGUCGAACGGUAAGGCCCUUCGGGGUACACGAGUGGCGAACGGGUGAGUAACACGUGGGUGAUCUGCCCUGCACUUUGGGAUAAGCCUGGGAAACUGGGUCUAAUACCGAAUAUGACCAUGGACUUCACGGUUUGUGGUGGAAAGCUUUUGCGGUGUGGGAUGGGCCCGCGGCCUAUCAGCUUGUUGGUGGGGUAAUGGCCUACCAAGGCGACGACGGGUAGCCGGCCUGAGAGGGUGACCGGCCACACUGGGACUGAGAUACGGCCCAGACUCCUACGGGAGGCAGCAGUGGGGAAUAUUGCACAAUGGGCGCAAGCCUGAUGCAGCGACGCCGCGUGGGGGAUGACGGCCUUCGGUUGGUAAACCUCUUUCACCAGGGACGAAGCGAGAGUGACGGUACCUGGAGAAGAAGGACCGGCCAACUACGUGCCAGCAGCCGCGG